This 659-nucleotide ribosomal RNA is filed under the name uncultured soil bacterium. RNAcentral's name for it is "bacterial SSU rRNA". It matches the Rfam family "Bacterial small subunit ribosomal RNA", at positions 8 to 700 of the family's 1533-position model. The record is from RNAcentral.
AGAGUUUGAUCCUGGCUCAGAAUCAACGCUGGCGGCGUGCCUAACACAUGCAAGUCGAACGAGAAAGUGGAGCAAUCCAUGAGUACAGUGGCGACCGGGUGAGUAACACGUGACUACCUACCCUUGAGUGGGGGAUAACCCCGGGAAACCGGGGCUAAUACCGCAUAACAUCGAGAGAUCAAAGGAGCAAUCCGCUCUUGGAGGGGGUCGCGGCUGAUUAGCUAGUUGGUGAGGUAACGGCUCACCAAGGCGAAGAUCGGUAUCCGGCCUGAGAGGGCGCACGGACACACUGGAACUGAAACACGGUCCAGACUCCUACGGGAGGCAGCAGUGGGGAAUUUUGCGCAAUGGGGGAAACCCUGACGCAGCAACGCCGCGUGGAGGAUGAAGCCCUUUGGGGCGUAAACUCCUUUCGACCGGGACGAUACUGACGGUACCGGUGGAAGAAGCACCGGCUAACUCUGUGCCAGCAGCCGCGGUAAUACAGAGGGUGCGAGCGUUGUUCGGAAUUAUUGGGCGUAAAGGGCGCGUAGGCGGUGCGGUAAGUCACCUGUGAAACCUCUGGGCUUAACUCAGAGCCUGCAGGCGAAACUGCCGUGCUCGAGUGUGGGAGAGGUGCGUGGAAUUCCCGGUGUAGCGGUGAAAUGCGUAGAUAUCGG